This 1480-nucleotide ribosomal RNA is filed under the name uncultured Bordetella sp. RNAcentral's name for it is "partial 16S-23S ribosomal RNA intergenic spacer". It matches the Rfam family "Bacterial small subunit ribosomal RNA". Lineage: Bacteria; Pseudomonadati; Pseudomonadota; Betaproteobacteria; Burkholderiales; Alcaligenaceae. The record is from RNAcentral.
GUUUGGUCAUAAGCUCGGAUGAACACUUUGGCGGGAUGCUUUACACAUACCGAAAUCGAACGGCAGCACGGACCUCAGUCCGGUGGCGAGUGGCGAACGGGUGAUAAUGUAUCCGGAACGUGCCUAGUAGCGAGGAUAACUACGCGAAAGCAUGUCAUCUACCCAUACGCCCUUGGGGAAAAGCGGGGGACCCUUCGGGCCUCGCACUAUUAGAACUGGCCGAUAUCCGGAUUGGCUAGUUGGGUAGGGUAACGGCUCACAAGGCGACGAUCCGUAGCUGGUUUUGAGAGGACGACCAGCCACACUGGGACUGAGACACGGCCCAGACUCUACGGGAGGCAGCAGUGAAAUUUUGGACAAUGGAAGCCACAGUCCAGCCGUCGCGAUGAUGCGAUGAGGCCUUCGGGUUGCUUAAAAACACUUUUGGCGGAGGAAAAAGAAACAGCUGGAUAAUACCCGUGCAACUGACAGUACCUGCAGAAUAAGCACCGGCUAACUACAUGCCCUUAGCCAUGUCAGUAAUACAUGGGGUGCGCUUUGUUAAUCGGAAUUACUGGGCGUAAAGCGUGCGCAGGCGGUUCGGAAAGAAGAUGUGAAAUCCAGAGCUUAACUUUGGAACUGCGUACAACUACCGAAAGCUAGAGUGUGUCAGAGGGGAGGUGGAAUUCAUGAUGUAGCAGUGAAAUGCGUAGAUAUGCGGAGGAACACCGAUGGCGAAAACAGCCUCCUGGGAUAACACUGACGCUCAUGCACGAAAGCGUGGGAGCAAACGGGAUUAGAUACCCUGGUGAGUCCACGCCCUAAACGAUGUCAACUAACUGUUGGGGCCUUCGGACCUUGGUGGCGCAGCUUCUUUGUGAGAUGACCACCUGGGGGAGUAGGUCGCAAGAUUGAAACUCAAAGGAAUUGACGGGGACCCGCACAAGCGGUGGAUGAUGUGGAUUAAUUCGAUGCAACGCGAAAACCUUACCUACCCUUGACAUGUCUGGAAUCCCGAAGAGAUUUGGGAGUGCUCGCAAGAGAGAACCGGAACACAGAUGCUGCAUGGCUGUCGUCAGCUCGUGUCGUGAGAUGUUGGGUUAAGUCCGCAGCAGGCGCAACCCUUGUCAUUAGUUGCUACGAGGAGCACUCUGUGAGACUGCCGGUGACAAACCGGAGGAAGGUGGGGAUGACGUCAAGUCCUCAUGGCCCUUAUGGGUAGGGCUUCACACGUCAUACAAUGGUCGGGACAGAGGGUCGCCAACCCGCGAGGAGGCAAUCCCAGAAACCCGAUCGUGGUCCGGAUCGCAGUCUGCAACUCGACUGCGUGAAGUCGGAAUCGCUAGUAAUCGCGGAUCAGCAUGCCGCGGUGAAUACGUUCCCGGGUCUUGUACCGCCCCGUACACCAUGGGAGUGGGUUUUGCAGAAGUAGUUAGCCUAACCGUAAGGAGGGCGAUUACCACGGUAGGAUUCAUGACUGGGGUGAAGUCUAACAAGGUAG